This is a small nuclear RNA of Manis pentadactyla (Chinese pangolin), 191 nucleotides long. RefSeq annotates it as U2 spliceosomal RNA. The record is from RefSeq and is a predicted model, not a curated record. The transcript has a single exon. Lineage: Eukaryota; Metazoa; Chordata; Mammalia; Pholidota; Manidae.
AUCAUUUCUUGGCCUUUUGGCUAUGAUCAAGUGUAGUAUCUGUUCUCGCUAGUUUAAUAUAUGACACAUCCUCUAUUGGAGGACACUGUAUUAAAUGGACUUUUGGAACAGUGAGUUAGAAUAGGAGCUUGCUCUGUCCACUCCACACAUUGACUUGGUAUUGUAGUACUUCUGGGAAUGGUGUACCCCUU